RNAcentral lists this ribosomal RNA (1056 nucleotides) under Triticum aestivum (bread wheat). RNAcentral's name for it is "partial small subunit ribosomal RNA". Lineage: Eukaryota; Viridiplantae; Streptophyta; Magnoliopsida; Poales; Poaceae. The record is from RNAcentral.
GUGAAAACCUUAAGCUGGAACUGCCGUGGGAUAGGCGAUCCCACGAUAGUUCAAGAACUCCGUGACCUUGUGGAGAUCAGUUCGCCUACUAUCCUUUGUUUAGUUGAAACUCAAUUAUGAAAAAGUCGUGUUGAAGGUCUUCGUUUCUCUUUAGUGUAUGAUUUUAGUUUUGGAGUAGGUAGCCAUGGUCAUAGUGGUGGUAUUUGUAUCUUCUGGAAGAAUUCAAUGGAUGUUGCAAUAAUUUUUUUAGAGUAUCAUGUGGAUGCAUGUGUGCUAGAACCGGGCAAGGAGCAAUGUCGACUAUCAUGUUUCGAUGGAGAAGCAACUCGGAGUUUCCGCUAUAAAACCUGUAACACAAUGAAGAGGUUGAGGGGGGAAAGCACCCUUCCAUGGUUGUGCAUAGGCGAUUUCAACGAGAUUUUGAGGCCCGAGGAGCAACAUGGCCCCAAUGCACGGGAUAGUGCCCAGAUUGAGGCAUUCAGAGAGGCAGUAGACAUGCAUGGGCUCGCUAACUUGGGAUACCGAGGUCUGGACUGGACAUGGGAGAAGAAAGUAGCCGAUGGCCACUACUGUCAAGUAUGUUUGGAUAGAGCUUUGGGCUCGGCCUGCUGGCCUGCACUUUUCCCUUUCACCACCGUUGAGCACCUCACCGCGGUGAAGUCCGAUCAUUGUCCUAUACUAUUAGAGACGGACCAUGUUGACAUGAGCAUUCGGGCCAAGCAAAAGCAGUUUCGAUAUGAAUGUAUGUGCGAACGGGACCCGAAGUUCAAUGAUAUUGUGGCUGAAGCCUGGAACUCCACAAAAAGGGCUCAAAUAGUUUUGGGAUUGUCAAAAAAGUUGGCCUCUGUUACCUACAAUUUGCAAAGGUGGGGCCGAACUAAUUUUGGAGCGGUCCGGUCGGAGGCUCGGAGCUCCGCUCUUUACGCCUGCAGCUUGCUGAACUGCGCGCCUCCAGACCACAUUGGUCCAUUGAUUGAGGAGGAGCGGAUCGAGGCCCGGAUGGUCGAACUAUGCUUACGGGAAGAGAUUAUGUGGCGCCAGAGAGCGCGCAUCUAG